This is a long non-coding RNA of Belonocnema kinseyi, 1252 nucleotides long. RefSeq lists it as uncharacterized. The transcript has 3 exons. The record is from RefSeq and is a predicted model, not a curated record. NCBI's taxonomy places the organism in Eukaryota, Metazoa, Arthropoda, Insecta, Hymenoptera, Cynipidae.
CUGACAGCUUCCCAAAUUCUCCGAAAAGGACAAAUGCUGAUAUUGACAAUAAUGGAAAAAAUAGAUCGGAAUUUAAGAACGAUGAAAGAGAUUUAAACCAUUCUCCUAGACGAAUGUCCGAACCAAUCGGAACUAACCAAGUAAUACAAUCAUCAACAUCUCGAAGACAAUCGGCACCAGAAAGGCGUGAACAAUCCACGUUGAUAUAUGAGAGACAAUUAAAACUCACUCGGACUCAAGAUUUGUGAGGGACGUUGCUCAAAAGCUAUGAGGGACAGAGGGCCUUCAAAAAAGAUGUUUGAAUGCAAAGAGAGCAAAUAAAGGAAAAAAAAAUAGCCCAGAUGAACAGAGAACACCUCUCACUCCCAAAAAAUAUGAAAGAGUGAAAGAUUGUCUAUAUAUUAAACUCAAGGAAGCUGGUGUAACCGGCCAGCAGCGAAAUAAUAGAAUGCGAAAAGUUUAGAGUCAUUUAAAGUCAAAAAUAUAUGAUGUACGCAGAAAUCUAUGAUAAUUACAAGAGGUUCGGUUUCUAAGAGAAAAGGUAAUUUGUCGAAGCACAUGCGCCCUAGGGUCCUGUUGUCAGAAGCUUAAAGAUCCACUUAUACAUAAUGUUCACUGUGAUGUUUCUUUGUUCAGAAUUUGGCGUUUUUCAAUGUUAAGAAUAGUCUGGGAGAACAAUUAAGUUCAAAAGUGAUUAAUCUUUACUUGACUUAUAGAAAUGACAAAAAAGGCCGACUGAAUAACCCAACAAAUUUUAUAAGAAAAACUUAAGCAUAGAUAAAAAAGAAUCCUGGAAAGGUUCCUUACAAUUUAAAACAUGAGAAUGACAACUCUGUUAAGAUCAUUUGGAGUUGACCCUUACAUUUGAUUAUCUUAAUUACUAUUACUUGGGGUGCCAACUUUAAAUGGCCUCCAACGAGUUGUCAUUCUCAUGCCUUCAAUAAUUGCAUUGCUUGAGUUUUGUUUCUAAGAUUUGUUGGAAUAAUCAAUCGCCUUUUUCAAUUUUUAUAAAUAUAAAGUUAACGAUUAAGUGAUUUUUAAGUUAAAGGCACACCUAGAAAAUCCUUAAAUGGUCGCUACUUAAAAAUUGUGUUUUAUUAUUAAUUUCUAAUUGAAGAGGUUCGUUUUCCCAGUGAGGCUGCGUCUAAGGAUCUUGUUCCUUUGGGUUUAAAAUACGUCAUAAUGCAAUUUUCAUUCAAUUUUAAUUUUGUAGAACACAUUUUAUUCCUUGAAAGGUUCUUCACAAUUCUAU